AGGGUCAAGAUACUAAGGGCCCACGGUGGAUGCCUCGGCACCCGAGCCGAUGAAGGACGUGGCUACCUGCGAUAAGCCAGGAGGAGCCGGUAGCAGGCUUUGAUCCCUGGAUCUCCCAAUGGGGUAACCCGGCCGGCGUAAACGCCGGUCACCGCCACAAAGGCGGAGGGAACCUGGGGAACUGAAACAUCUCAGUACCCAGAGGAAAAGAAAGCGAAAGCGACUCCCUCAGUAGCGGCGAGCGAAAGGGGACCAGCCUAAACCGCCCGGCUCGCCCGGGCGGGGUCGUGGGGCCCUCAAACACCAAAUCCUAAGCCUAGCCGAAGCUGCUGGAAAACAGCGCCAAAGAGGGUGAAAGCCCCGUAGGCAAAAGGCUAAAGGAUAGGUGAGGGUACCCGAGUACCCCGUGGUCCGUGGAACCAUGGGGGAAUCCGGGCGGACCACCGCCUAAGGCUAAGUACUCCGGGUGACCGAUAGCGCACCAGUACCGUGAGGGAAAGGUGAAAAGAACCCCGGGAGGGGAGUGAAAUAGAACCUGAAACCGUGGGCUUACAAGCAGUCACGGCCCCACCAGGGGUUGUGGCGUGCCUAUUGAAGCAUGAGCCGGCGACUCACGGCCAUGGGCAAGCUUAAGCCGACCAGGCGAAGGCGUAGGGAAACCAAGUCCGAACAGGGCGCCCAGUCCGUGGCCGUGGACCCGAAACCGGGUGAGCUAGCCCUGGCCAGGGUGAAGCUGGAGUAACAUCCAGUGGAGGCCCGAACCGGUGGGGGAUGAAAACCCCUCGGAUGAGCUGGGGCUAGGAGUGAAAAGCUAACCGAACCCGGAGAUAGCUGGUUCUCCCCGAAAUGACUUUAGGGUCAGCCUCGGGCACUGACUGGGGCCCGUAGAGCACUGAUAGGGCUAGGGGGCCCACCAGCCUACCAAACCCUGUCAAACUCCGAAGAGCCCCAGGCGCAGCCCGGGAGUGAGGGCGCGAGCGAUAACGUCCGCGUCCAAGCGCGGGAACAACCGAGACCGCCAGCUAAGGUCCCUAAGUCUGGGCUAAGUGGUAAAGGAUGUGGCGCCGCAAAGACAGCCAGGAGGUUGGCUUAGAAGCAGCCACCCUUUAAAGAGUGCGUAAUAGCUCACUGGUCGAGUGGCGCCGCGCCGAAAAUGAUCGGGGCUUAAGCCCAGCACCGAAGCUGCGGGCCUGGGAAUCAAACCCCAGGCGGUAGGGGAGCGUUCCCUAUGCCGACGAAGGCCGACCCGCGAGGGCGGCUGGAGGUAUGGGAAGUGCGAAUGCCGGCAUGAGUAACGAUAAACAGGGUGAGAAUCCCUGUCGCCGUAAGCCCAAGGGUUCCUACGCAAUGGUCGUCAGCGUAGGGUU
Molecule: ribosomal RNA, 1367 nt
Filed under: Bacteroidota bacterium
Lineage: Bacteria; Pseudomonadati; Bacteroidota
Description: bacterial LSU rRNA
Rfam family: Bacterial large subunit ribosomal RNA
Source: RNAcentral